UAAAUCGGAGGAAGGUGCGGGCUACGGUAGGGUCAGUAUGCCCCCGAAUCUCCCGGGCUACACGCGGGCUACAAUGACUGGGACAAUGGGGCUCCUACCCCGAAAGGGGAUGGUAAUCUCAUAAACCCAGCCUUAGUUCGGAUCGAGGGCUGUAACCCGCCCUCCGUGAAGCUGGAAUCCGUAGUAAUCGCGUUUCAACAUAGCGCGGUGAAUACGUCCCUGCUCCUU
This 228-nucleotide ribosomal RNA is filed under the name uncultured Methanomethylovorans sp. Its description in RNAcentral is "partial 16S ribosomal RNA". It matches the Rfam family "Archaeal small subunit ribosomal RNA", at positions 1115 to 1338 of the family's 1478-position model. Lineage: Archaea; Methanobacteriati; Methanobacteriota; Methanomicrobia; Methanosarcinales; Methanosarcinaceae. The record is from RNAcentral.